UACGUAGGGUGCAAGCGUUAAUCGGAAUUACUGGGCGUAAAGCGUGCGCAGGCGGUUAUGUAAGACAGAUGUGAAAUGCCCGGGCUUAACCUGGGAACUGCAUUUGUGACUGCAUGGCUAGAGUUUGGCAGAGGGGGGGGUAGAAUUCCACGUGUAGCAGUGAAAUGCGUAGAUAUGUGGAGGAACACCGAUGGCGAAGGCAGCCCCCUGGGUCAAGACUGACGCUCAUGCGACGAAAGCGUGGGGAGCAAAC
Molecule: ribosomal RNA, 253 nt
Filed under: uncultured bacterium
Lineage: Bacteria
Description: partial 16S ribosomal RNA
Rfam family: Bacterial small subunit ribosomal RNA
Source: RNAcentral